CUUUUUAAUUCUUUCUCCUGGUGUGUCUGCUCCACCGCCCGAGCUAAUCCCCCAAAUCCGGUCUCCUAAGCCGCAGCUGCUUCCCUUCGCAGUGAUGAAUGGCUCAGGGAGGGAAGAUCUCUGGUGAGUGUUCCCCCAGCCUGGCGUAGGGCAUGCCCCAGUUCACUUUCGCCUGCUUCUGUGGUCUCCACGGCUUCUGCAAAAUGAAGAGGAAGAAGGAGGAAGUUCACAGAGAGCGGGAGACGGCGGUGUGAUCAGAACCAGGGCCCCUCCAUCAAGCCCCCAGCAGGUCCCAGGCCUGAUGGUGCCUGCUUCUGGCUGGGGCUUGGAGCAGGAAGCCGUGUGUGUAUCUUAAGUCUUGAUUUAGCCAGUGCUCUUCUCAGCCUGACUCUCACCCGAGGGCAUCAGCCUCCUGUGUGCCUCUCAUCCUCCUCAUGCCCACACCCAUUAGCUUCCAAUUCUCAGACCUCCUUGGAGAGAGGCCCCAGCCACACAAGGGGGAACCCCAGGACCUGCCGCAUGCCUUCCAGAGACUGAGAAGCCCCAGGGAGGCCAAGGAGUGAAACUUCUUUCCUGCCCUGAGAGCUUCGGGGGACUCUUCUCAGGCAUCACCACCACCACCACCACAACCACCUGCAGAUAGAUGCUCAAGUGAUUCUAGAAGAGAUCUCAAGGACUGGCGCUCUGCUCCAGUUAUGUAACCCAUGGGCUUCCCUUUGCACAGCUCCUCAUGUGCCCAUCUCCAUGCUGAUCAAACCACCCCACCUCAUUCCUUGCCUUCUGCAAGGGGAAGUGCCUCAGGCUGGAGUUUGUCCUAUCUACAGACUGAAUAUGCAUUUUGCCCAGUGGCUGGAGAGUUGCUGGUGGUGGAAUGUGCUGGUGAUUGUUUCUGGAUGGAGAGCCACAGCCCCCCAGUGUUCUGCCAUGACUGACUCCUGACCUUGGCAAAUUGCCUCCUCUCUCCCAGCCUCCUCCAUAACAGGUGGCGAUGAGUCCCAUUUCCUCCCUACCUCACAGGAAGGCACGCAUUAUAAAGGGCACACUUAUCAGAUGUGCCCAGAUGUGGCUGGAACUUUUGGAGACAGAUACUUGGUUCACAACUGCAAAGGUGGGCUUUCACCAGAGAAGAAAAUCUCUGGGCUGCUGAGUUCAGUGGGCUCCUUGCAGGCUGGUCCAGGAAGUCUGGUGUUCCUCCUGAAGGUGGCUGCUAUGUCCAGCAGGUGAUCAAGCUGACAGUACCACAAGAACCAAGAAACAGAAUCUGUUCCCAAGGAAUGAACAUUCUAUCUCUCUGACCCAAAAGCAAGAGCAAGAGAGAGCUGUCACCAUCAUCACCCUGCUCCCAACACAAACACAGCCCCCCAAGUCCAUAUUGCUGACAAGGGUGUCUGCCUUGUCAGGGUGAAUCCUCUGGACCCCCAGGCCAUCCCUGGAGUGGUCAGUGCCCACUGUGCCGGGGUUAUUGUGGCCAGUCCGCCUGGGUUCGCUUCUCUAAAUUUCCAUGGCGUAGGAACUAUAGAUCAUGAAGAAGAAACAGGAACCUUGACUCUUCACGGAGGAGCCCAGGAGGUCAGAACCAUCCACCAGGAGGGUGAGCGGUAGCUGCCCAGGGCAUCCCUGGAGGAAGUCGUCAUACUGAAGAAGAAAUUGCCAAAGCCAAGAGCUCCCAGACCUGGGCAGCUCAGGAGCUGACAGAAACCACCCCCCAAGUCUGGAGUUCAAGGGUUUUCCUCGUGGGCUGCUGGUCUGUCUCUUUCCCUUCUGGGGCAGCCGUCUCUCCUCCUUCAGCUCAUUCCCGUGUUCCAUCUGAGGGGCGGGAGGAAGGCAGGAGGGGGAGAUGGCAGGACCCAGACAGAUCCUCAGGACUCUCCCAGCCUCUGUUGCCAUGGCAACACUGCUAUUUUUAUCCCGUUGUUCAUGAUGCUCAAAGCUCUAACUUUCUCUGUUCCAGAGAGGCCAGGCUGGUUUCUGCCCUCAUCCUUUAACACAGCAUCUUCUCCCAGAGGCCUGAGGAUGGGAAAAAGUGAUGGAGAAAAGGGGAACCCCUAAGGUCACCCCUCAGCCAGGGGGAACUGUUUAACAGGGGUUUGUCUCUGCCCUUUUGAGCCUUUGGUUUUCUACCUGGCUCAGGCACCCAGGUUUAUGUUUUCUAGAUCAAAACUCUGCAUGGUCUCCCUGAGAGACUGCUCCAGAGAGAAAAGAGCUGCCAAUCAGGAUGGAUUUUUUCCUACACAGGUAUGACACUGCAGCCACUUCCCUUCUUGGGAAAAUUAAACUUCAUUCUGAAGAAUGUCCUGUUGGUGGUAUAAGCCAACCCCCGCCCUCCUAAAAGGGGAUAGAUAAUUAAAUUUGGUUAAUUAGCAAUCAGAUUCACUGGGGAAUUGAAACCAGUACUUCCCUUUCUUCUGUCCCUCCACCAAAGAACCGGAACAAAUGGCUUCAUGUCUUUGUCCAGUCUUUCUGCCUAAAGCAAAAUAGCAUAUAUUCUCCAGGCUGAAAAGUAGAUUCCUCCUCACCCCUACUCAAGACGGCCACAUUUCAAUCCAGGCUCUUGAAGACAGGGUCUAAUGAAAGGAUUUCUGUUCUUUCUCUGUCUGUUCCCUCUGGCCCAGCUUCUAGUCCUCUCCUUAUGUCCCCACCUCCAUGGCAGUGGCAAGAGACCCCUGAGAGUCAAUGGUGCUAACGUUCCCCACCUAUAUACCCCUAUGUAGUUUAUCGAGAUUUGAACCCAGCACCUGGGUGGCUGUGUUGGGCGGAUACAUUUCACAUCCUCAAGACCACAACCCUGGCGACAGGUCUGGAUAAAUUCUGUAAAGUAGCAAUCUAUAUCAUGCUAAACUCCUGCACUGAGGUUCUACCUCGGCUGAACUGACUCGUGGAUGGUUAAGUUUCCUGGGGUGGCUGGAACCCAUUUACUAAGCCUCUAAUUGGUUUCAUUUUGGCUCAAGUUGCAUGGUUUCCCGAAUCUAUGCACCUGGAGUAAGCACUUUUCUGGUUGCCACUGGAAAGCAUGC
This 3014-nucleotide long non-coding RNA is filed under the name Pan troglodytes (chimpanzee). RNAcentral's name for it is "long non-coding RNA NONPTRT001411". The record is from RNAcentral. Lineage: Eukaryota; Metazoa; Chordata; Mammalia; Primates; Hominidae.